This 260-nucleotide ribosomal RNA is filed under the name uncultured bacterium. Its description in RNAcentral is "partial 16S ribosomal RNA". It matches the Rfam family "Bacterial small subunit ribosomal RNA", at positions 524 to 779 of the family's 1533-position model. The record is from RNAcentral.
UACGUAGGGUGCGAGCGUUAAUCGGAAUUACUGGGCGUAAAGCGUGCGCAGGCGGUUCGUUAAGACAGAUGUGAAAUCCCCGGGCUUAACCUGGGAACUGCAUUUGUGACUGGCGAGCUAGAGUAUGGGCAGAGGGGGGGUAGAAUUCCACGUGUAGCAGUGAAAUGCGUGAGAGAUGUGGAGGAACACCGAUGGCGAAGGCAGCCCCCUGGGUUAACACUGACGCUCAGGCACGAAAGGCGUGGGGAGCAAACGAGGAU